GUGGUUUGGGGCGAGCUGUUGUUUCCGAGCUAGAUCUAUUACCAGGAGGGCCCGCCAGCCCUGGUACCUUCUCUUCGGGGCUUUCCUUGCCUUGAUGGAUACACGGUGCGGGGAUGUGCGGGAAGGUCGCUGCCCGACACUAUUGCUGAUCGGCGAUGUGAUGACAGGUCGAAUCCGCUGCAUGCCGUGCGGACUACUAACUAAUCAACGAGAUACCCCAGACGCUUGGGCGUCGAAACACGAGUCGCGGAAUAUCACGUCGUUCGGACGGUGCUGGCUGCAGCCCGCGCGCAAAAGCUUUAUUCUGUUGUCGUCAUUGGGUAGUGAGAUCGCCAUCUCACAAACUCACUCACUCACACACACAGACGCGCGCAGGAAAGCCCCUGCGAGGAAAAAUGGCUUCUCCCGUACCCCCUCAGCUGCCUCCAAACUCCAAA
This 437-nucleotide long non-coding RNA is filed under the name Volvox carteri. Its description in RNAcentral is "long non-coding RNA (VCAR_LNC001782)". The record is from RNAcentral. Lineage: Eukaryota; Viridiplantae; Chlorophyta; Chlorophyceae; Chlamydomonadales; Volvocaceae.